This 482-nucleotide ribosomal RNA is filed under the name uncultured bacterium. RNAcentral's name for it is "partial 16S ribosomal RNA". It matches the Rfam family "Bacterial small subunit ribosomal RNA", at positions 38 to 507 of the family's 1533-position model. The record is from RNAcentral.
GGGGGGCGGGGGGGGGGGGCCUGGCGCGGGCGGGGCGGGCGGUGACGGGCCUUCGGGUGCCGGCGAGUGGCGGACGGGUGAGUAAUACAUCGGAACGUGCCCGAUCGUGGGGGAUAACGAGGCGAAAGCGUUGCUAAUACCGCAUACGAUCUACGGAUGAAAGCAGGGGACCGCAAGGCCUUGCGCGGACGUAGCGGCCGAUGGCAGACUAGGUAGUUGGUGGGCUCAAAGCUUACCAAGCCGACGAUCUGUAGCUGGUCUGAGAGGAUGAUCAGCCACACUGGGACUGAGACACGGCCCAGACUCCGACGGGAGGCAGCAGUGGGGAAUUUUGGACAAUGGGCGCAAGCCUGAUCCAGCCAUGCCGCGUGCAGGAUGAAGGCCUUCGGGUUGUAAACUGCUUUUGUACGGAACGAAAAGCCUUCUUUUAAUACAGGAGGGUCAUGACGGUACCGUAAGAAUAAGCACCGGCUAACUACGUG